This is a long non-coding RNA of Nyctereutes procyonoides (raccoon dog), 921 nucleotides long. RefSeq lists it as uncharacterized. The transcript is spliced from 3 exons. NCBI's taxonomy places the organism in Eukaryota, Metazoa, Chordata, Mammalia, Carnivora, Canidae. The record is from RefSeq and is a predicted model, not a curated record.
AGAGAGAGAGAGAGAGGCAGAGACACAGGCAGAGGGAGAAGCAGGCUCCAUGCACCGGGAGCCCGACGUGGGACUCGAUCCCGGGCCUCCAGAAUCGCGCCCUGGGCCAAAGGCAGACGCCAUACCACUGCGCCACCCAGGGAUCCCUCGAUCUAUCUUUUUAAAAAAAUAUAAGAGAGAGCACAAGCAAGCACAAGCAGUGGAGAGAGAGGGAGAAUCAGACUCCCCACUGAGCAGGGAGCUCAAUCCCAGGAUCCUGAGAUCAUGACCUGAACUGAAGAGUAAGAUUAACAAAAUGAGUAGGAAAGCCUGCACAGUGCUGAGGCUGUUGCUUCAAUGUCCGCAUCCAUCCUGGUCCCCACUGCAGUUUGGCACCAUCUGGUGGUGAUUAUCCAUUCCAGCUUACACAUUGUUGGGAGCAACUCUGUCUGUAGCUGAUUGGACUUCAGGAAAGCAUCAAUGAUUCCAGGAAAUUCCUGGCUCCAGCAUGCCAGUUUUCUGGGCCCACUUUGGGAAUAUUGAGUUGGGAGAUUACUGAACACCUCCCCUCUGGGUUUCGUGUUAUUUUUCUGCUUGGCUCCCCCCACUCUACCUGUCCCAGAUACCAACCUCAGAAGAUAAAAGCUUUAGUCUCCAUCCUUCCUUUGUUCUACCUGUGGGGUUCUGUUGGUAGAUGGAAGCAAAUUUUCCAUUCCAUAAUCUCAGAAUUCAUGAGAUUUGGGGUAUAUUUUUACAAGGUUUUAUUUAGUUGUAUAUUUUGUUCUCUCCUUCCAUUAUAAAAAGAGCUACAAAAAGCUUGAGGAUUUUUUUGUUUGUUUGUUUUAUUCAUAGCCGUAUCACCAAUAAGUAGGACUUCUUAGCAUGCAGGCACCCAUAUAUAUUCACUGAGUAAAGUUAAUGGAUGGAUAUUGAAACCUUGGA